This 1209-nucleotide long non-coding RNA is filed under the name Oreochromis niloticus (Nile tilapia). RNAcentral describes it as "lncRNA (ENSONIG00000037091.1)". Lineage: Eukaryota; Metazoa; Chordata; Actinopteri; Cichliformes; Cichlidae. The record is from RNAcentral.
CAUUAAAUGAGAAGGUGUGUCCAAACUUAUAUUUCACCUUAGUCUCCUUAAAAUGUAAAUAUACUUUAGUUUCCAUCUUCCCAUUUGAACAUUUAUCAUCAAAAGAGUAGUUAAAUCAAUUAAUCAAGAAACAAUAGAUUGAUUAUUACAUGAUCAAAUAUAAUUGUGGCCAACUUUAUUGUACCCGAACUCCCCUAGCCUCAAAACAGUUUAUUUGAACAUUGUGAGUUUUUCUGUCUUUAAAUCGAGUCCUGUCUGGAUGUCUUUGCACAUCUCUUUAUCAAUACCUGCAUUACUAUUGCUCCUUGCUUUCCUUCCAAGACAGCGCUGAUUCUGCAGCAGUCCUCAUGUGACCUGAAAAACACAAAUUUUGGGUUGGAGCAGCCAUGAUAUCCCGUUCCCCUGCAGUGACGUCACCUACUACAAAGAUAUUCCUAUUAGAAAAUACUAUAUUACGCAUAUUGUGACGAUUAAUUUACACCUAUGGUUGCAGAGGAAAAGCUUUAGCGGUUUGGUCAGAGGCUAUUUGCGUCCUCAAAAUCUCAUUAAGGGACUAGACGGACUGCAGCAAUCGUGUGUGUUUGUGUGUUAAUGUGUGUGUACAGGUAGAGAGUGGAGGUGUGACUCGGGCAUACGAGAAACAAGAAGCCGUGAAAGUGACUGCACCGCGAGUACAGUCGCUUUUGGUGUCGCGGUGGUAUCCUCGCCUGCCUUAUUCUCUUUUUGAGGGUGUCUGUGUGUCUUUCCCUCUCUGUGUGUCUUUCUCUCGUUACUGAGGCGCCAUUUCUGCUUCAGAGGACGCCUGUUUUUAGUAGAAGACAACUAAACACCAGCGGCACCAUGUUAACACUGCUGACUUCCAUGUAUCUGGUGAUGCGGACCGUUUCAUCGCGGACCGCCGCCCCCUUUCCAGGUGGCGCAAUCAGUAAUGACACGGCUCUGCAGCUCAAAGGUCGUGGGUUCAAUCCCACCUUGGUCCACGUUUUUUUUUUUUCACUACAAAUUUAUACACUAUCACAGACCUGUAAUUUAUAUUGCUAAUCUAUUACAAUUCUACAAAGUUUUAUGAUUUUAGCAGCUUUUCUACUAUGGACCUCAGAUUCUUGUUAACGCUCCAUGGCAGAAACAAGUACACAGCCUGAUGAAGCAGACAGAGGCAGUACCUCUGAUUGGUGAAUUUGAGUAGAACCAGGUUGUUCUUUCAUUUCA